Rosa rugosa (rugosa rose) is the source of this 5214-nucleotide long non-coding RNA. RefSeq lists it as uncharacterized. The record is from RefSeq and is a predicted model, not a curated record. The transcript has 2 exons. Lineage: Eukaryota; Viridiplantae; Streptophyta; Magnoliopsida; Rosales; Rosaceae.
AAAAAGCGCGCCUCAAGGCGCGCCUGAGGCGCAAAAAGCGAUUUUCUGGCCUGAAAAUGAGUGUGUUUCAGGGGCUAGGCGACGACGCUGGUGAGGCGUUCUCCAAGGCGCGAAAGGCGUGAAAGGCGUCCUCCAAGGCGUGAAAGGCGUACGCGCAGAAAAAAUGCGAAGUGACGUCGUUUUGAAACAGAAUGGGUUUAAAGGCUUCUAGGUCGCGACUGCUACCCCAAAUUCGAUUUCAGCCCUCUGCCCCUCUCUGUUCCAAAAGGUAGCGAUUCGAUCCCUAACCCAGAGUUCGAGUUAGGAGUUCGAUUUCAGCCCGAUUUCAGCCCUCUGCCCCUCUCUGCGCAGCAGUCAAUUUGAGCUUGAUUGGAGGUCGAUUCGCAACAGGCUAUUUGAAGGUAUUGGAGUUGGAUACUUGGAUUCGCAACAUGCCAUUUGAACUUCUGAAGAUUUUGUGAUCCCAUUGGAAAAUGAGGGAGAAGGGGUUUGAUUAUACUGUGGUGUUAAUGUCAGAGAUUAGUAUGCUGCGGAUGGAGGGGAGUGGAAUUCCUCUUAUGUCAACAAGCUGACACGCCCUGUUCGCAGGGAUUCCGCAUUGGCAACUGCCAACAUUGAAUAGGUUAGCUUUCCUUCUUGACUUUUUGUACUAGAUAGUUAGUCUUGUUUUCAAUCUCCAUUGGUCAAUUCCCUGUUACAGAUUUACAUGCAUCUUGUUUGAAGUUGCUGAAGUUUACUGCACUGUAAUGUGUUUAUUGUUUUACAUAGACUCUAAUGUGUAUUGUUUUACCUCGAAUUGAUCACAUUGAGCUUUGUUUUUGAAUUUAUGUUUACUGCAUUACAACAGUAAUACUAGGGAAGCAACAGGCUUUUCCUUGAGUUAGUCUUUAGUUUUUGCACGUCUGGAUAGAUUUUGUUAAUGCAAGUCUGGCAGGAAGGCCUUAACCCUCUAUUCAGUUGAUAAAAGGAAGGAAUUAGGAUCACACACUUAUCUAGUUUACAUUUCUUUAUCAACAUUAGGCUUGUAGAGCUAUCUAAACUUGUAGAAAUAAGAAAUGCGGCAAUUCAUUGUUCCAUGAGUUAGCCUGAAAGAAAGUUACUAGUAGUUUUAAGAUUUGAGAAACUGCUAAUUGGUCUGGGGGUGUAUUCAGGAUACUGCCACCAUAAAAUAGGUAUGAUUUGCUUCUUGGAGAGAAAGUUAGUUUUGUAUUCUAUCUCUGUUGGUUCCCGCUUUAAGUUAGAAACUCGCACAUCAAUUUGAAGUUGUUAAAUUUCACAAUUGUUGUACUUUUACCUAGAAUUGAGAAUCACAAUUGUUGUACUUUUACCUAGAAUUGAGAAUGACUGAACCUUGUUUCUGAAUAAGUUAAGUGCAUUACAACAUUAAUUGACCAAUCUCAUACUUGAGAAGCAUAAGCCUAAGAAACUCCUGAACUUCUAACUAUAGUUCUCAUUUAUUCUUGAUCUUUGGUGUUUGAACUUUAAAUCCUUGAUUUCAUUUUAUGUUGGUAAUUUUGUUGAAUCAUAUGCUUCUAGUACUUCAUUUAUUGUGAGUGAAUGACAAUUAGUAAUGUUCUUUUGGUUGAAUCAUAAUGUGGUAUGUAUAAGAGUAGAAAUUACAUGAAUAUAUGUGAUUUAUACGUAAGGCUUACGCCUUAUGCGCCUUAUGCCUCAAGGCUGCAAGGCUCUCCCAAAAACGCCUCGGGUACGCCUUCAGCGUUUUAAAACAUUGGUUUUGACCAUGAGUCAAACGACAAAGACCAAAUGGCUUUGGAGAGUCAUAAGCUUAGUUAUGCUUUGUUUCAUGUCUCUCACUGUGACUAUGAAGCGGUGGGAUAAUGGUUUAAUAAUACAAGAAGACUAAAGAAAGACCAUGCCAAAGUGAUGAUCACGUCUUCCAUUAAAGGCCUGGCGGUGGGAAAUUUAUCAUCACACUUCAAGACAAAAUUGCAUAUGCAUAAUUGUCAAACCAUGGUGCUGUUGUGGGGAUUAAAUAGCAAAGUGACGAGGAGCAUGGCCACGGUGAAGCGGUGAUAUGUUCAGAGCCUCAAAUAAAUUCUCUCUCUAAGCCGAACUGGCAGGACUCGCAAAUGGCUUCAAACUGGGUGUAGAUAUAAACUUAUGGGUGUCCAUCCAUAGGUUGCAAGCUGUUGGGCUCAAAUUAAUUUCGGAGCAGUAUGAAGCCCAAUUUUAAAGCCCAUUGCACAACUUCGCGAAAGUUCGGGCCUAAUCAAAUUUUUUGCCGACAAGUGAAGAAGGCGACACAAAGCCCGUUGCAAAAUCCAAGGCCCAUUAUGAAGCUCGGCAUGUUCGGGUGCCCAAUUCAAAUAAGUGGACACUCUACUAAAAUCAAGUGUUCACCAAAACAUGUUUUCUCGACGAGUUCAAAAUACAUACCCGUUGAGUAAAAAUUGGUACAAAACCAAAAAUCCCAAAUAUAAUGAACUACAGUGGUUUGAUCCCUUCACAGGGUAUGUAGGCAGUCUAGCGACCCACUAGAUGCAACUGCAACUCCAAACAGAAUCCCUGACUCCACCAGUCAAAUUCAGCUAGUCCCAAAUGAAUCACUGACUCCAGUCAAAUUCUCCCAACACCACAAAAAUCAAAUCCAUUCCAAAUCACACAAAUUCAAGGGCUUUAAACCCUUCUCCAAACACAAAUUCAAAAUAAAUGGGACAUCUACCCAUUUAAAUCCCAAAAGCCGGAACUACAUGUGGUUUGAUCCCGCAAAGGGUAUGUUGGCAAUCUAGAAACAAACUAAUCUAGAUACAACCGCGUCGUAAACACAAAACCGAAUCCCUGGUCCACCUAAACCAAAUUCGUCCCAAAACACUACUCUAAUUCCAAAAUCAAAGCCUCCAAUGAGUCAUCCACUCAUUGGAACUCUUGAACUACGAGUGGCUUGAUCCCUCUCCAAGAGUACGUAGGCAACCCAUUCAAAUAUCCGGGUGCAGCCGCAAAACAAACAAACACACAUCCCAUCAAUUGGUUUCUUCAUAAAUGGAAUCAAUGGGUGUUUCCCUGUAACAAGGGAUUGUAAUUAAGAGACACAUUCUGUCUUGAAUGGGUUGAACCCAAAAUAAUAAAAACUCUAUUCACUAAAUGAAUACGAGUGAAAUUAUGUUGGGUGACAUUUACGCUCACUGUGUGCAAUAUUUUUCCUCAACACAGAUAUCCUCAUUCGGUACUACUCUAGAGACGCUAAAGAUACAUAGAGUGCACAUCGGUGCUUAGCUUCCUAAAUACAAGGAAUUUAUUGGAAUUAGACAAAAAACUAAAAAUAUAGGGUUGGGCUUAGGGCCAAAAAAACCCCAGCCCAACAUAUCCAGAUCAAAGAAACACCAAACAAAGGCCCACUCAAAAGGCCCAGCAGGCCGGGCCCGGCUCCAGCCCAGCAUCCAUCUCCAGCCCUAAACUCCGCGUGCAGUAUAACUGAUAAAAAAAAUCGUUAAAAGUGAAUCUAAUAAUAAAAUAUUCACUAUCUUUUCUUUUUUACAAAAAUCUUAUAUAAAACUUUAAUUUUUUUAGGCCCAUAUAUAUAUAUAUAUAUAUAUACGGAGCGGUUCCAAAGAGGACGUCCGCACUUUCGUUAAAGUGCGGACGGCGCUGCUGCAACUCGGCUCGGGGCGCGACGGAGCGGCGGAGCUUGCCGGACGGACGCCACGGGUCGGACGGACGAGUCUGCAGUCGGUGUAGUCGCCGGCGACGUGCUUGCAGCCUUGCCCAGAAACCUGCAGUUGCAGGUGAGGUCGCUGCCCAGAAACCUGCAACUCCGACCUCGAAUGCUGCCCAGAACCGUCCGCCAAGCCUCCGGCCUCCGUCCGCCAAGCCCCGAGCCGCCGUCGCCGCCUGGAACGCCGCCGCUGCGUCGUCGUCCGCACUUUAGCAAAGUGCGGACGUCCUCUUUGGAACGGGCCUGUAUAUAUAUAUAUAUAUAUAUAUAUAUAUAUAUAUAUAUAUAUCCUAUCCAGAGUGAGGCCGCGCUCUGAAAUUAAAGUGUGAGGUUGGAGUUUAUGGUCACAUUUCUGUCGCAUAUUCACAUCUCGACCGUUCAGUUUUUAGGUACUAAUGUAUAGAUCAUCUCUGUAAAAUUUCAGCUAAAUUGAUAGUCGUUAAGGCAUUGAUAACUGCAUUGCUCUGGAUAGGAUCUGUAUAUAUAUAGUAUGCACAAAUAAUUUCAUACUCAGCCUAUAAUUCAUCACCCUUCUCCCUACUCAUAUAUAAUACAGAUAUGGGCUCAGCUCAUGGUUAAAGGUAAGUUUCCACGAGGCCUCAUCCCAACACUGAAUCAUCUGGCGGGUAAGAUUUUAUUGCAUGGCUUUGAAAAUUGCUCUUUUUUUUUUUUUUGGUAGUUGCUUAUCCAUAGUGGUUCCUUCUUGGUCGAUUUUUAUAAAGUAUGCACCAAUAAUUUCAGACGCAGCCUAUAAUUCACCCUUCUCCCUACUCUCAUAUAUAAUACAGAUUACUUAUAGGGACUUUAAAUAAUUACAGUCUUGAUUUCAGCUCAUGCCAAACGGUAAGUUCCCACGAGGCCUCAUUUCUUGGGGGCAAGAUUGUAUUGCAUGGCUUCAAAAAUUGCUCCUUUUUUUGCUGGUUGCUUAUCUAUGCAUAGUGGUUCCUUCUUGGUCAUUUUUUAUAAUAGCUACGGCUAUACUUUUAUGCUUUUGAGGUCAUCUAGCUGGAUCAGGUAUGGUUUUAAAUAUCUCAGUUUUUUUGUUUUGUUUUGUUUUGAAUGAAUAUCUCAGUUUUUUUUAUUAGGAAUGAGUUUCAAUAUCUGAACUCCAGAAAAUUUGGACUUGAUGAGGUAGAGUAUUGCACACAUCAGGGAAAAAACAAGCGUUCAUUUAAACAACCUGAUGAUUUAUUUGAAGGAGAAACUAUUUGAGAAUUGGGCGACCUUUGGAGAUUCAUGGACGUUAGACUCGGACAUCAAUGGAGAUGCAUUUGACUAUUUGGACACCAAUGAAUGACCAUGACAAUGAGCUAGAAGGUGGCUUUCCGAUCAAAAUAUAUCUGUCUCAAUGCUUAUGGAGAUAUACAUAUUCGCCAUAAUAACACAAUUCUAUAUCCAGGCUUCCAUUUAUAGGUACAAUAUUGCAAAUUAAAAGGAGGCCGGGAUUUUUAUUAAUUUUAUUGUUUGUUGUUGUACGUCAAAUUACUCCGCGUUGUUGGUUUCUAUUUUGAUGCAUGUGAUGUUACAUAUUGUUGGCUUUA